This 222-nucleotide unclassified non-coding RNA is filed under the name Hevea brasiliensis (rubber tree). Lineage: Eukaryota; Viridiplantae; Streptophyta; Magnoliopsida; Malpighiales; Euphorbiaceae. The record is from RNAcentral.
AAUUUUGAUAUUUUGGUUUUUAGGGUUUGAUUUUUUUCAUAAUCGAACCAACUGAUUGCACACCCUAAUGAUUAAGGUUGCACCAUAUGUGCUUUGCUAGUUGAGUUCAUGUUCAAGGAUUGAUUGGAAAGGAGAGAUGGAUUGGCAUUUUGGGCUGAUAGCAUUUUCAAGAAUGUUCAAAGUUGAUGAGAAAUCAAAAGCUUUCACUUUAACCGAAAGAGU